GAUGAACGCUGGCGGCGUGCCUAAUACAUGCAAGUCGAGCGAACAGACGAGGAGCUUGCUCCUUCGACGUUAGCGGCGGACGGGUGAGUAACACGUAGGUAACCUACCUAUAAGACUGGGAUAACUUCGGGAAACCGGAGCUAAUACCGGAUAAUAUUUCGAACCGCAUGGUUCGAUAGUGAAAGAUGGCUUUGCUAUCACUUAUAGAUGGACCUGCGCCGUAUUAGCUAGUUGGUAAGGUAACGGCUUACCAAGGCAACGAUACGUAGCCGACCUGAGAGGGUGAUCGGCCACACUGGAACUGAGACACGGUCCAGACUCCUACGGGAGGCAGCAGUAGGGAAUCUUCCGCAAUGGGCGAAAGCCUGACGGAGCAACGCCGCGUGAGUGAUGAAGGUCUUCGGAUCGUAAAACUCUGUUAUUAGGGAAGAACAAACGUGUAAGUACCUGUGCACGUCUUGACGGUACCUAAUCAGAAAGCCACGGCUAACUACGUG
Molecule: ribosomal RNA, 497 nt
Filed under: uncultured bacterium
Lineage: Bacteria
Description: partial 16S ribosomal RNA
Rfam family: Bacterial small subunit ribosomal RNA
Source: RNAcentral